This 937-nucleotide ribosomal RNA is filed under the name Phaeoclavulina cinnamomea. Its description in RNAcentral is "Phaeoclavulina sp. WL-2022b partial large subunit ribosomal RNA". It matches the Rfam family "Eukaryotic large subunit ribosomal RNA", at positions 47 to 969 of the family's 3401-position model. Lineage: Eukaryota; Fungi; Basidiomycota; Agaricomycetes; Gomphales; Gomphaceae. The record is from RNAcentral.
UUGGGGGGGGAAGACUAACAAGGAUUCCCCUAGUAACGGCGAGUGAAGCGGGAUGAGCUCAAAUUUGUAAUCUGGCGGUCUCUUGCCGUCCGAGUUGUAAUCUGGAGAAGCGUCUUCCGCGCCGGACCGUGUACAAGUCCCUUGGAACAGGGCGUCAUAGAGGGUGAGAAUCCCGUCUCUGACACGGACUCCCGGUGCUAUGUGAUGCGCUCUCAAAGAGUCGAGUUGUUUGGGAAUGCAGCUCAAAAUGGGUGGUAAAUUCCAUCUAAAGCUAAAUACUGGCGAAAGACCGAUAGCGAACAAGUACCGUGAGGGAAAGAUGAAAAGCACUUUGGAAAGAGAGUCAAACAGUACGUGAAAUUGUUGAAAGGGAAACGAUUGGAGUCAGUCGCGUCUCUUGGGACUCAGCUCUGCUUGCGGAGUGCACUUCCCAGGUCGACGGGCCAGCAUCGAUUCGGAUCGUCGGAAAAGGGCAAAGGAGAAUGUGGCACCUUCCCAGGUGUGUUAUAGCUCCUUCGUCGCAUACGGCGGUCUGGAUCGAGGACUGCAGCACGCCCUUUGGGGUCGGGGUUCGCCCACGUAUCGUGCUUAGGAUGCUGGCGUAAUGGCUCCAACCGACCCGUCUUGAAACACGGACCAAGGAGUCUAACAUGCCUGCGAGUGUUUGGGUGGAAAACCCGGACGCGUAAUGAAAGUGAUGUAUCGGGAUCUCUGUCAUGGAGUGCACCGACGCCCGGACCAGAUCUCUUUGAGGGACGGCUCCGAGGUUGAGCAUGUAUGUUGGGACCCGAAAGAUGGUGAACUAUGCCUGAGUAGGGUGAAGCCAGAGGAAACUCUGGUGGAGGCUCGUAGCGAUUCUGACGUGCAAAUCGAUCGUCGAACUUGGGUAUAGGGGCGAAAGACUAAUCGAACCAUCUAGUAGCUGGUUCUGCGUCUU